CCCAGCAGCAGCAGCAGCAGUUCCUGUAGGAGCCCGGGCGGCAGGACGGGAAUAGGAGCGCUGGGAACAGUAAAGUCCACUCGGAUCAGAUUAACAUGACUAUCUAACUCUGUCGCAUCUACGCACUACCAGAGUAGAUUCAACAUGACUUCUACAAAUAAAGGCAGAUUCAUCAUUUGUCUUUGGAGAUUCACAUACAUUUGAAUACCUUCCUAUGUGGAGAAAGAAAAGAGAAAAACUAAGAAAGGUGAAUUUAAACAUAAUUGAUGGCAAUUGGGAAACUUAAUACAAAUUCAUCUUCAUUUAAAAGAUAAUGGAAGCAUCCACCCUUCCUAGAACUGGCAGGAGCACCCUCAAGUAUGCUGUACAGCUCCAGGUCUGGAGAGAGUGGAGGAAUACUUACCAGCCCCAGACCUGCUCUGCUGGUCUCCUGCCUGAUGACAUCAGACACAGAAAGAGGAGAAUCCCAGAGACACAGAGGUCCACUGCCAGAGCUGCUGCUGGUUGGGCAACCCAGGAGAGCCUGUUAAAAGACAAUUGCUGAUUCCUUGGACCAUCAUGGCUAAAACAACACUAUAACCUUACUGAAAGGUUAAAGCAGGAGUAUCAGGAACAUUGAGAGUCAUCUAGUCAAAACCCCUGCAGGAUGGUUCUUAAAACAUUGCUAAGAGAUGUCUAUGCAGGCUCUUUUUUAAUAUACCCAUUGACAGAGAUUCAACAAUUUCCCUUUGCAUCAUGUUCCAUUUUCCUAUCAUUCUUACAGCGAGUAAAUUAUGCCUGAGAUUGAA
This is a long non-coding RNA of Alligator mississippiensis (American alligator), 788 nucleotides long. RefSeq lists it as uncharacterized. Lineage: Eukaryota; Metazoa; Chordata; Crocodylia; Alligatoridae. The record is from RefSeq and is a predicted model, not a curated record. The transcript is spliced from 7 exons.